GGCGAACGCUGGCGGCGUGCUUAACACAUGCAAGUCGAACGGAAAGGCCCUGCUUUUGUGGGGUGCUCGAGUGGCGAACGGGUGAGUAACACGUGAGUAACCUGCCCUUGACUUUGGGAUAACUUCAGGAAACUGGGGCUAAUACCGGAUAGGAGCUCCUGCUGCAUGGUGGGGGUUGGAAAGUUUCGGCGGUUGGGGAUGGACUCGCGGCUUAUCAGCUUGUUGGUGGGGUAGUGGCUUACCAAGGCUUUGACGGGUAGCCGGCCUGGGAGGGUGACCGGCCACAUUGGGACUGGGAUACGGCCCAGACUCCUACGGGAGGCAGCAGUGGGGAAUAUUGCACAAUGGGCGGAAGCCUGAUGCAGCAACGCCGCGUGCGGGAUGACGGCCUUCGGGUUGUAAACCGCUUUCGCCUGUGACGAAGCGUGAGUGACGGUAAUGGGUAAAGAAGCACCGGCUAACUACGUG
RNAcentral lists this ribosomal RNA (468 nucleotides) under uncultured bacterium. Its description in RNAcentral is "partial 16S ribosomal RNA". It matches the Rfam family "Bacterial small subunit ribosomal RNA", at positions 28 to 507 of the family's 1533-position model. The record is from RNAcentral.